GGUUUCUGAGAAGUUCCUUGAUAAGGGGGGGCUUCUAAAUUAUUUGGUGAGGCUGGAAGGAUCACAGCAGCUCAUUGCAACAAAGACCUCUAAGUUACUCCAUGCCAUGUUCUCUGCUGACUAUCUCUGUAGCGUGAACAAUCACAUUUCCCUCUACAACGUUAUUCUGUGUGUUGGUCUGGCUCCACUCAUUAGCUUAAUCGCAGACAUAAUGUUCCUUUAGCCUGGGGAAGAAUUUGAAGGGAGGGAAGAAUACCUGGCCUUGCAGCAGUUUAGAGCUGGGCUCAACAGGGAAGACCUGUCCAGAAAAGCCCUUUGGAGCAUCAAGAAAUGGCUGAGCAGUCAGGAGGUGUCUCUGUGAAAAGAAGCCUUGUGGGUUCCUCUGGUUCAGCCAAUGCUGAGUAACUGGAGAAUAAGCCAGAUUUUAUGACUGCUCAUGUUUCUUAGACAUCACUGAACACAGCACUAUGACUUAAAUAUUGAAAUAAACUGCUCCUAAGCAUGGUCUCACUCCUUCCCUGUUAAAUUAAAGGACAUCUUUAAAUUAACUAAAAAAGUACAUUUGAGGUUGCAGGUGUGAAGCUUGGCUUACAUCUGCUCUGUUGCUCUCCCCCAGAGCAGGGCAGGAGCCAGUGGUAAUUUGCAUCGCCUCUUCUGCCAUUCCAGAUCCUUCAGGCUGCUUUGUGCUUCAUUUCUCCCUCCCAUUCUCCCACACGGGUAUUGUCAGCCAUUGUCAGAGUUGGGUGGAAUGCAGUUAAGUGCAGCUAACCCAGGAAAAGAGCCCCAAAGGAAUAAAUUAGUGUCUGAAUUAAUUCCUGUUACAAGCUGGAAGUUCUCCAGAAACUUCAGAAGCCGCUUGCUUGAGUCCAAAGGACGGAGGGAUCAUUCAGAGAUGGAGGAGCAGAAGCUCUUGAUGUGCUUCCAAGCUUUGUGAAACAGCUCACCUGAACUGCAGGCAUGGGAAUGUUUGGUGGAAUUAGCCCAUGGGCAUCCACAGGGAUGAGAAGAACUGAAGCAGAAGUCAGAAUCCUGGUAAGGUCCUGUUUCCAAAGAAGGAAGACCAAAUGAAGAGUGCUCCAAAUCUGAGCACCUAAAUGUGCCAUAUGAGGUGCUUCUGGAAGGGAAAACAGCAGGGCAAGUCGCUGUUACUGGGAGCAGUCACAGUGUGGGGGGCCCCAGGGCAAGCACGAGGGUCAGGGUGUUCCUGGUGCUGCACAAGGAGCGUGACUGAAGCAGAGAGGUACAGAGCACCAAGUGCAAAGCUUCUUCUUGGGAGAAGACUGGACUCCAGGAAUUUUUCUGCACUUCUUUUAGAGCUACAGAACAAUGUAAGAAACUCAGAUCCAGGGGGUUUUCCCCCAAAGCUUUGCAAGAGGGAAGAAAACCAGUGGUACAAAAUAUAUCCUUUUUUCCCAUUAGUCAGAUGCAAUCAGGUAUCCUUUCCCUUCUGCUGACUUCUGAGGAAAAACAGCAAAGAGCCUCUCUCCAUUAGAAACCUGUGAGGUCUCAGGCCAGCUCAAAGCAAGCAGUGAAAGAAGGUGUGGAGUCUCCACCAAGCAGGAGAGGUAGAGCAAGAGUCGCCCUUCAGGUGUCACCCAUUUACAAUAAACAGAUCUGCUGCCAGUUUAGGGAGGGUUACACCACAAUAGGUCACUGUAGGUCUGGCUUUGCACAUGUGUUGCUUUUUAUUUUUAGUUUCUCCCUUGUCUUGUCAUGUUUUUUUUCAUGGAGGAGGGGCUCAAGCAGCAAUGCAAUGCAUAAAGGUAUGGGUACAGAUGUUUUGCCUGUGGUAGGGAAACAACAGUGGUUUUGGCCUUCUAAAGCAGAGAAAAGGAAAGAGCAGCAGGACUUGCCUGGAUGUUUUGUAGCAGGAACAUCAACAACCUCUUGGAGAGUAAGGUUAGUCUUUUCCUGGUAUUGUAUUUUACUAAUGUUGUGGAAAUAAAGAAAAUAUAUUCAGUGGACAACAGAGAAACAUCAGUGAUCGUAUUCUGUAUUCUGGAAACCUGUAUCCUUAAACUUCUGGUCUCAUAUAGCAAUUUUUCAAUGUUUUUCCCU
Long non-coding RNA from Taeniopygia guttata (zebra finch), 2058 nucleotides. The record is from Ensembl. Lineage: Eukaryota; Metazoa; Chordata; Aves; Passeriformes; Estrildidae.